CUUGCUAUACUCCUUAUGGACCACAUCAUAAAAGACACAAACCGUUUUUACAAACAGGCCUGAUUGAUUUUCAUAUGCGGUUGCACCAACUGCAUGGGCCAAAUUAUCUGCGAAAAUACAAAUCUUUGCAUGCAGCCAGAGCACCCGCAUGUGAAAAUUCGAUUUUUACAUGCGGGCGCUUUAAGCCAACCGCAUGCAAAGAGAAAAAUCGCGAAAAAAAUAAAAUUCCAAAAAUAAAAAACGAAAAAAAUAGCGCCGCCGCCCGCCCGAGCUCGUCGCAGCAGCCACCGCUUCCGCUCCCUGCGUAGCCGUCGCCGUCGCCGUCACUGUCGCCGGCUGCCCGAGAAAACCGUUGCCACCGCCCGAAACCGCCGCUGCCACCACUGCCCCCAGAUCUGCCGCCACGCAUCGAGCUCCACCUCGGCCGCAUAUCAUAUGUCUGGCGUGUCCAGGUGCAGCAGCACCUCGGCCGCGCAUAGUUCCAGGAACUCACCGAGCCCGGCACCGGCGACCUUGCUGGCCUCCAUUUCCGAGCAAAAAGGCCGUGCCUUUGAUUGGAUUCUUGCGGAAUCAAUCCUGCAUGGUUCAAUCAAAUAAAUCGAGUUCUUGCAACAAAAGCCUCCUAAGAACCACUUCGAGCUGUAGCUUUUGGAUGGUGUGGUACAAGCACGAGCUUGAUCCGGAGCUGCAGAAGGCGAGAGGAGGGGAAUGUGGGGCACCUGUGGACGGUUCUACCGGUCGCCGGAUCCACCGCCGCCAUCCGUCGCCGUGGCCUUGCUCGCUGUCGGCGACAAGAGAGGGGAGGGAAGGAGAGGACACGAGAGGAGAGAGGG
This 833-nucleotide long non-coding RNA is filed under the name Oryza brachyantha (malo sina). RNAcentral describes it as "long non-coding RNA (OBRA_LNC000509)". The record is from RNAcentral. Lineage: Eukaryota; Viridiplantae; Streptophyta; Magnoliopsida; Poales; Poaceae.